This 253-nucleotide ribosomal RNA is filed under the name uncultured bacterium. RNAcentral describes it as "partial 16S ribosomal RNA". It matches the Rfam family "Bacterial small subunit ribosomal RNA", at positions 524 to 776 of the family's 1533-position model. The record is from RNAcentral.
UACGUAGGGGGCUAGCGUUGUCCGGAAUCAUUGGGCGUAAAGCGUGCGCAGGCGGUUCUGAAAGUCAGCUGUGAAAGCCCCGGGCUUAACCUGGGAAUUGCGGUUGAAACUACAGGGCUAGAAUCUGGCAGAGGGGGGUGGAAUUCCACGUGUAGCAGUGAAAUGCGUAGAGAUGUGGAGGAACACCGAUGGCGAAGGCAGCCCCCUGGGCUGAGAUUGACGCUCAGGCACGAAAGCGUGGGGAGCAAACAGG